AGCGAACGCUGGCGGCAGGCUUAACACAUGCAAGUCGAGCGGGCAUCCUUGUGGUGUCAGCGGCAGACGGGUGAGUAACGCGUGGGAACGUGCCCUUCGGUUCGGAAUAACUCAGGGAAACUUGAGCUAAUACCGGAUACGUGCGAGAGCUGAAAGGUUUAUCUGCCGAAGGAUCGGCCCGCGUCUGAUUAGCUAGUUGGUGAGGUUACGGCUCACCAAGGCGACGAUCAGUAGCUGGUCUGAGAGGAUGAUCAGCCACACUGGGACUGAGACACGGCCCAGACUCCUACGGGAGGCAGCAGUGGGGAAUAUUGGACAAUGGGGGCAACCCUGAUCCAGCCAUGCCGCGUGAGUGAUGACGGCCUUAGGGUUGUAAAGCUCUUUUCUCCGGGACGAUAAUGACGGUACCGGAGGAAUAAGCCCCGGCUAACUUCGUG
Molecule: ribosomal RNA, 437 nt
Filed under: uncultured bacterium
Lineage: Bacteria
Description: partial 16S ribosomal RNA
Rfam family: Bacterial small subunit ribosomal RNA
Source: RNAcentral